RNAcentral lists this ribosomal RNA (327 nucleotides) under uncultured bacterium. RNAcentral's name for it is "bacterial SSU rRNA". It matches the Rfam family "Bacterial small subunit ribosomal RNA", at positions 28 to 359 of the family's 1533-position model. The record is from RNAcentral.
GAUGAACGCUAGCGGGAGGCCUAAUACAUGCAAGUCGAGCGGUAGAGUGACUUCGGUUGCUUGAGCGCGGCGCACGGGUGAGUAACGCGUACAUGACCUACCUUUAAGACUGGGAUAGCCCUGGGAAACUGGGAUUAAUACCGGAUGUGAUAAUACGUAUAGAGAUGUAUUAUUAAAGUUGAGGCGCUUAGAGAUGGAUGUGCGUCUGAUUAGCUAGUUGGUAGGGUAACGGCCUACCAAGGCGACGAUCAGUAGGGGGCUGAGAGCGUGGCCCCCCANACGGGUACUGAGACACGGACCCGACUCCUACGGGAGGCAGCAGUAAGG